Molecule: small RNA, 100 nt
Filed under: Pan troglodytes (chimpanzee)
Lineage: Eukaryota; Metazoa; Chordata; Mammalia; Primates; Hominidae
Description: processed transcript
Source: RNAcentral
GGAGGAGGUUGGUUGGUGUUCAUGGAGCCAGUGUCAACUGCCUGUCUGUUACGAGAUGUCACAGCACAACCAGGUUAUUCACAUCGAACUCCUUUGAUGU